RNAcentral lists this long non-coding RNA (1600 nucleotides) under Diabrotica virgifera virgifera (western corn rootworm). Its description in RNAcentral is "uncharacterized LOC126884077". The record is from RNAcentral. Lineage: Eukaryota; Metazoa; Arthropoda; Insecta; Coleoptera; Chrysomelidae.
UUCCGCCCCUUAUAGAAUCGAUUAUUGAUGGGAAGAUAUUAUUUAACUAUCCAAAAUAUUAUUUAAUUAUUUUCAGAAUUAUUUUCUUUCAAUGUUUAUUCAAAUAGAACUUAAACCCAUCUCAGAAUUUUUAAAUGCUUGAUGACGUCACAUUUAAAACGUGGCAACAUUGGUUUCCCCACUUUGACAGCCAAUGCUUAGUAGAGGGGUACGAAGGAUUCAGCUGUGAACGUGAGCCUUGGAUUGCCAUUGUUUCUCGAGUGUUCGGUCUGAAUCGUAGUGUGCGGGGUCAUUAGACUCAAUUAUUCACCUCUAAUUCUCAGUUCCAAAUUGAUUAAAUAUUACAAUAAAAGUAUAGUGAAGUUAUCCAGCAGCAGUGGAUUUGAAGAAUUUUAGAGCAUACUAUAUCCAAUGAGUUCUACCCCGCACCUACCAUGAAAUCUUAAAGCCACCCUACAACAACACCAAGGCCAGACCACACAGAGAGAAACAAUCAAUAGGCGACCAGCCUGGAUUAUUUCCACAUUUUCUUUUUUUGAGUACCUCCAGCUGCUUUCCAACAGUUUUGAGUACCUUCAGCUGCUUUCUACCAGUCUUCCUCUCCUGUACCUCCAGCAGGACAGCUGCUAGCGAGAGUUAGCACCCUUGGGUGCUCAUUACAUCAACUUCAAGAUUAGGAAAGAGUGGUUUGUUUGGGAACAUUUACUGUGCUCUUAUUAAAGACAGACUGGUUUUGUGAUAUUUAGUACAUUUUUUUUUAUAGUUCAAUUGCACACACAUUUUUCCUGCUUUAUAUUUUUUAUAGGUUUUUUUUUCUUUACAACAUAAUAUUUAAUUGAUAGCGUUCCCCAACACUCUGCAAUCUAUAAAGGUAUAAAUUUCUGAGCUCAGAUAUUUUCCCUGAUAAUAGUAGUCGGUACUCUUAUCUUGAUUAUUUUUAGGCUGUGUUCCACUUUUGUAUAAUUAUUUAAACUCAUUCCAUUAUUUUAGUAUAUGUUUAAUUAAAUUUUUAAAAAUUAACUUCACAUAUUAGUCAAAAUUGUAAUUAUUAACUUUAUUUAACUUGAACUUAUUAACUUUACUUAACUUUAACUUAUUAACUUUAUUUAACUUUAACUUUAAUUUAUUAAAUUCAUAUGAACUUCUGGAUUCUAAUCCCUCAGAUUAGUUUUUGGUUUCACUUGUUAUUAUUACUAUUAUAAACCACGAGUUAGGAAAAGGAUCUGUGUAUCCACUCGUAGGUUUAUUUAUUCAAUAAGGCUUGUGCCUGUCCCACUCACAGUGAGGUAUUUAUAUGUUAUAUAUAGUAUCAGGUAGUAUUUAAUUAAGGUGUACGUAUUAUAAACGUACAAUUAUUAUUUGGUGAGGGUUCUACUAACCUAGUUGUAAGUUGUACUUCCUGUAUUAGAGGUACCCGUAGUCAGUUUUUCUAACCUUAUAAAGAGUAUUCUUAGAUCAUAGUUGUAUGAUGAUUUUGUAAUUGACUUUCACUAGUAUCACUUUUUCCUGUCAUGUUAGAGUUACACACUAGUUACUUGUCCUAACUCAGAGAUUGUUAAAAAGAUCUAGUAGUUACAUUCAAUAAAUAUACAUUUAUUGU